AAUAAGUAUAGUUUUACACCGUUUAUGUCGAACGUUCAUCCAUCCGUCUUAUUUGAGAUUUUUUUAUGGUUAGUAUUUUUGUUAUUAUUAGAUGAUAAAACAUGAAUAGUGCUUUAUGUGUGACUAUUUUUUUCCCAUAUUUUUCUUUCAAAUAAGAUGGACGAUCAAAUGUUGUACACGUAAACCCACAGCUACUUAUU
MicroRNA precursor from Oryza sativa Indica Group (long-grained rice), 200 nucleotides. It matches the Rfam family "MIR812 microRNA precursor family". The record is from Rfam. NCBI's taxonomy places the organism in Eukaryota, Viridiplantae, Streptophyta, Magnoliopsida, Poales, Poaceae.